GACGAACGCUGGCGGCGUGCUUAACACAUGCAAGUCGAACGGAAAGGCCCUGCUUUUGUGGGGUGCUCGAGUGGCGAACGGGUGAGUAACACGUGAGUAACCUGCCCUUGACUUUGGGAUAACUUCAGGAAACAGGGGCUAAUACCGGAUAGGAGCUCCUGCUGCAUGGGGGGGGUUGGAAAGUUUCGGCGGUUGGGGAUGGACUCGCGGCUUAUCAGCUUGUUGGUGGGGUAGUGGCUUACCAAGGCUUUGACGGGUAGCCGGCCUGAGAGGGUGACCGGCCACAUUGGGACUGAGAUACGGCCCAGACUCCUACGGGAGGCAGCAGUGGGGAAUAUUGCACAAUGGGCGGAAGCCUGAUGCAGCGACGCCGCGUGCGGGAUGACGGCCUUCGGGUUGUAAACCGCUUUCGCCUGUGACGAAGCGUGAGUGACGGUACUGGGUAAAGAAGCACCGGCUAACUACGUG
RNAcentral lists this ribosomal RNA (468 nucleotides) under uncultured bacterium. RNAcentral's name for it is "partial 16S ribosomal RNA". It matches the Rfam family "Bacterial small subunit ribosomal RNA", at positions 28 to 507 of the family's 1533-position model. The record is from RNAcentral.